Non-coding RNA from Heterocephalus glaber (naked mole-rat), 5810 nucleotides. The record is from RefSeq and is a predicted model, not a curated record. Lineage: Eukaryota; Metazoa; Chordata; Mammalia; Rodentia; Bathyergidae.
GCCCGGCGGCCGCGAGGGGCGGGGCGACGCCGGCCGCUUCCCGGCCCGGGCGCAGCGCCUGGGCCUCCCGCAGCCCGGGAGAAGGCGCCCCGCCAGCUUGGGGCUCUCACCGACCCGACCGAGAAAGCCUCCCCCAGCCAGGCCCCCGGCGCAGAACGCUGCGAGGGCGGGAAGGCUCAGGCUCCGGGAGCGGACCGGCCCUCUGCAGACUCGGGAAGCGAGUCGGGACCACACGCUCUGGAUCAGGCGCAGGACGGGGAAGGAUGAAUUCUAGGAACAGCAGAGGUUAAGAGGAGGAAGAAGUCACUGUGAGAAAGACAGCUUCUGGGUAAGAGAGACAGAGGGGACCCGGAAAGUGGGGUGCCGGGGCCCCUGCUCUUCAAGGGGGUUUGAAGAACAAAAAAGCCACGAGGUGAGGCGGGUUCCCCUUCCCUUAUGGUGGAACAAAACUACAGUCAACUAAUAAGGUGACAAGUACAGUCGCUUAGGUACUAUUGAUUAAGCGGGGAUCCGGUCACGCAGCAAGCAUUCAUCUAGGGCAAGUGUACGGGUGUGGUCUUUCUUCCUUGUCUUGAGCCUGACCUUCAACAAAGCGUCUCCAGCCAGAGCUGUGAUGUGUUCCUGUCUUCCACCUUGACUCUGAGAGCAGAGUAUGUGCACUGCUGAGCUGUCUUCAAUACGGGGCGGCCGGGCCAGGUGGGCAUGGGGGCCGGAGCUCCAGGAGAGAGAGGAGAGGCCCAGCUGCCCUGGCCAGUGGCUGCUUGCUCAAACCCUCCUGUCGUGCUGCUGACCUCGCUCUGCUUGAAGGGCGGAGGACCCAUCUGCCCUCCAGCCACAGGUUGAUGGGGAAGAGGUAUCUGGGGGAGGGAGGUCCGGGCCUUCUUCCAGCCCCACAGAAUCUGCCCUCUGCUCCCCCAGCAGUGCCAAGGCCUGCAACUUCCUGGGGACCCAGCCAGGACCUCACUGUGAUCAUUGAUCUUUAUCAAGGACAGAAGAGACCUGCUUGGUGGCAGGGAGCCCAGGCCCUGGCAGUGGGCCAAGUGGGUGAAAGGCUGGCCCGAGAGGGGGACGGGGCCAGGUGUGUGUGCAGCUGAUGGGCAGCGCCUUCCCUGAGCCCACACAGUGGCCUGCCCGCCCUCUUCUCUUCCUUCCUUCCUCUCUCCCCCCUUUCUUGCAGUGCUGGAGCUCGAAGACAAGGCCUUCACACUGAGCUACAUCCCAGCUAUUCAUUCACUCAUUUUUAUUCUUGACAAAGACUCUUACUAAGACUCUAAAUUGCCCAUGCUGGGCUCCAGCUUACAACCCUCCUGCUUCAGCCUCCCGAGCGCUGCGUUGACAGGCCUGGCUCUGAUGGCGCCUGGGAAACGGACUCAUCAGAGGGGCUGUGAAGAGGACUCACAGGCAGGGGGCAGGAGGGGGACAGGAUGGAGACUGGGAGGCAGCGGCUGAGUGACUGCUCAGCCUGUCGUUGGUGGGUAACUGGCCGCACGGCCUCAGCCUCUAAGAACACCUUCCAAGCGGUUCCCAAGCCUCAUGGUCAGCCCACUGGAAUUUCACGAAUGGCCCGUCCUUGCCAACUCUAACUUGGCUCUCCAUGACUGUGAAAUAGCAGGGGAAAUCAGCUUAUAAGGAGAAAAGGCUGGAUUUGACUGUUUCAGAGGUCCGGGCUGCAUCCCCAGGCAAGGAAGAGGAAGGGGCGGGUUCCAGGCCUGAGGCCACGCCCCCAUGAACUGAAGACUCCCCAUAGGCCCCACCCCUUAAAGUGCUAGCGCCUCCCAACAGGGCUGCACUGGGAGCAGGCCUGGGUGUGGCAGAAACCCCUCCGCAGGCUGGCGGUUUAGGUGUGCAAAUAACUCUGGGGUCGUGGACAAAGGCACUUACAUGGUGUCCGGGGCCUCCAGACACUGCUCUUGCCAUCCCUCCAGUGACCUCAGCCAUCACAGCGAGGCAGAAGCAGGAUUACCUCUCCACCUUUGCCAGCAGAGGCCCAGGGACACAAGGGCAAAGGGAUGCCCACCCCAGGCCCGAAGUGCCCUCUCCACCUGCCUCUCAGAGGCCACCAGCCAGGGCCUGCACCUUUCACUCUGCACCCCGAGAUGCCCGCUGUCUGGCUUCUCCGCAGCGCACAGCCCAGUGCCAGCCUGGCAGACUGUCCUCGCUUUGUACUGGGGACCCAGGGUGACACAGGGCAAAGGGCCUGGAAAGAGUGAUGCCUUGUUAGUGUUCAAGGAGAUGCAAUCUGAAGCGGUGGUGCAUCCGUCAGUCAGAUGGCGGGAUUGACGGCGCCCACGCUUGGAAAUGGUGGGACAGGCAGUGUAAUCCCAUCUCUGGGCUCAGCGCGAGGACUUCACUUACAAGGAGGCCCAGGCCCAGCGGGCCGGACCAGCCCGCAGAACAGAGGGAUGGAGGCGAGGCUAGGCUCUGACGCAAAGGUCAGCAGGGGACACCCAAGGCACACACAGGCGGGAAGCGGCCCACAGGCGCUUCCAGGAGACCCUCGGGCUGCAGAGCCGUGUCCCGGGCCCUGCACCCUCUGUUGCACCUGUGCCCUCAGAUCCCUGCAGCCGGCUGAGGCUCCCAGGCUCCAGCCUUGGUCCCCCACAGCCGCCACCAGGGUGCACACGCCAAGGAGCGGGUGUCACUUUAUUGACCUCAGGUCACGCUGGGGACACUAAAGCUCAACGAAGCUAAAUAACUGGCAAAACUAGUUUAACCAUAGGGUUUAUUCCAGAGCAGUUUGUACAGCGACCACUUCCGCACUCCGUGGCCCUUCCCAUCGGCAACCCGCAGAUGCUGAGCCGGCUGCGGGCCCCUCCGGGGCUGCCCUGGCUGCCAUCGGUGCAGUGAAUGGAAAAGCACUUUUUCUUUCUCUCUUUCUUUUUUUUGGGGGGGUUUGAGACAGGGUCUCACUAUGUAGUCCACGUUAGCCUUGAACUCGUUAUGUAACCCAGGCUGGCCUGGAACUCAUGGCGAUCCUCCUGCCUCAGCUUCCUGAGUGCUGGGACCACAGGUGUGAGGCACCAUGCCCAGCCAGAAGAGCACUUUUAGCAUCAUUACUGGUGCGGUUAGACCACACACCCCCGUCUUGCUGCGGACGGACCUGUACCCAGAGCCUGUGUGCUGGGGGUGUGGGGACUUGGCAUCUGAUCCACUCCUCUGAUCCCAGCACACUGGACACUGGAGUCCCGAAGCCAGGGGUUGCCGGGCCAGGACUGGCACCACCUGUCUUCCGGCUUCGAUUCCAGGCUCUUUCCCCAGGGGCCUGUAGGACUCUGCAGAGCAGAGCAGACUAAGACGUCGCUGCUGCACCUCAGUGUCUGCCUCGUGUGCCAGGCGGGGUGCAGAUGUCACCCUCUGAGCCUGCUGGGUGUGACUCUCCUCCCCCGAGGCUGGGAGGCCACAGGGUGUGCCUGGAACCUGGGCAGAGCUGGGCAGAGAGAAGUAAGGGUGGUGCUGGCACGGAAGCCCAAGGGGCCAGGCCAAGGGCAAGGUGGCAGGUCGUGGAGGGCAGCCUGGGAGGAGAGAGAAACUGGCCCAGAGCAGGCGAGUCCCGAGUCACAGGUGCGAGUGCCCGCUGUUUCUAGGGUAGGAUGACCUGUUCCGAAGAAAGGGUGCCCAGGCACACGGUCCCCUCUUCCUGGAAAUGCAUGACAUCUUAGCACAAGCACACACCCUGUCGUGAAAACGCGGCACUGCAGGGCCAGCCAGUGUGUCUGGGUGAUGCUGUUGGCAGGACCAGCCAGGUCCACGCUCUGCCCCAGGACGGGUUCGAGCUCAGCUCUAGCUCCCUUCUCCAUGGCUCCCCCAUGGACCUCCCACAUCUGGGUCCUCUGGGAACCCUGGCCAGUUGAUCCCGGCUCGGAGAGGCUGCCAGUGGUGGGGAGGGCAGCCACAGGCGUCUGGGCCCUACUGCUCCGUGGAAGCACCCUCUGCUGUCCCCUCCGAGUGCUUCCUCUCCCACUGGGGUGCCUCUGGUCCACCACCUGCAUCGGCUCUCAAGGCCUUCGCCCUCCGCUGCCUUCCUCACUUUCUGGCUGUUCUCGCUCCUCCAGUCCCUUCCUCCCAGCCAACUGGCGUGGACCCUGGUGCCCGGUGUGGCAGGGACCCCAGUCCAGCCCCGCUCCUGCUGCAGCCUGGUCUGAAGCUGCUCCUCUGAGUCCAAAGCAUCUGACAAAGACUCUGCUGCCUCUGCGGCCCACUGAGAACCAGUGCCUUGUGGAUGGGGCCGCGUCUCACUGUGCCGGACCCUGGCCCUGGCCUGUGCAGUUGGGGAGAGCUCCAGGGCAGGGAGGCUGCUGCUGGGGACUCCCGGAAAGAGCGGGGUGGCUGGAGACCCUGUGGCCAGAGCUGCCAGACUCCUCCAGGUGAGGGCGAGCUGGAGGGCGCGGUGGCUCCUGCUUGUCCGCAUCUCGCCUGCAUGCGGGGACCCGUCCUGCCCUCUUCCAUCAGGGCGCUGCAGUGGUCCGCACUGUGCCCACCUAGUUCCGCUGAGCUGCACUCCCAGACCCCUGCCCGUGGGCCCUGGGUGGGCGGCAGCCACACGAGGCCCCUGUGGGAGAUCUCUGAGGCGGAAGUGAGGCUCAGCAGUUCAGUUCUGGGGCUCAGGGAGGCCAGGCCGGGCACCCCGCAAUCUGUCACUGGCCUGCUGCCCACCCUGCUGGCUGGGGGCAGCCAGGGGCUUCAGUCUCCAGCACCUGCACCCAGUGCGUGCCACUCCGGCUGGGGCCCCCGGUCGCCCCACUGGUCCUCUAGAACCUGGAGAUGGAGCUCUUCUGUGCCCCCUGACCCCCAGGGGACCCUGGCCCAGUGGGGACAGAGGUGACCCUCUCAGCACCAGCAAGGGACCAGCCUAUAUUCUCCAUGCCCCCAGAGGCCCCGCCUCACUGAGGACCCAGUGGACGCUGUCACCCUCGGGUCUUAGACGCCGGACUUCACCCAGUGGGAGGACCCCGUGGCAGGACAGGCGCAAAGCCACUGUGACCUUGGGCUGUGUCUGCCCCAGCUGAGAGGGACCUUUGGGCUCUGACCACCAGUGGCUCAACCAAACAAGCGCAGUUAUUUUUCUUCCCUUUUAUCCUGAGGUCAAAGGCCCCCGGCCCUCGGGGUGGCAGGGGACAGUGCCACAGCCUCUAUGCUGUCUGCAGGAAAGAGCUCUUGGGGUCUCAUGUUCAGCCUGUCACAGGUGGGCAGGUUCAUAAAACACAGCAGAGAUGCAUCUAUGGGAAAUGAAAUGCAGUCCUGUGGAGAGAGAAUCGUGUCAGCGGAGCCUAGGGCAGAGGAGGGGACAGAGCGCAGUGAAGAGCUCUGGUUUUCUCGGCACCUGGGUAGCCGUGUCCCCUGCGGUUGAUGAUAUGUUUCAAAAUAACCAGAUGGUCCAGAGCGCCCCGGCACAGGAUGAUAUGUGUUUGAAGAGGCAGAAAUAUAAUCACUGCGGUUCAAUCAUUCUGCAGGGCAGGCAGGUGUUGAAUGAUAGUACUGAACCCCAUAAACAUCUACAAAUAUGAUGCGUCCAGCUUUGAACUUUUGUCUUCCUUGUGCCCAGGGGCUCACUCAGACCAGACAAGUGCUCUACCUGUGACCCACACCCACCGCCUUUAUUGUUUUUUAUUUUCCUCAAUUGCCCAGGAUGGCCUGGAAUUUGCAGCCUUCCUGCCUCAGCCUCCUAGUAGCUGAGAUCCCAGGUGUGGCGACCAGGCCAGUUUAAAGAAAAAUGAAAUGCAAUAAGGAAUUAAGAUUACCAGCUCCUCGCAGUGAAUGUAGUCAUUAUGUACUUGCAACCACGUACUAAUAAAAAUAAAAGUUUAAAAACA